CCUACGGGUGGCAGCAGUGAGGAAUAUUGGUCAAUGGACGCAAGUCUGAACCAGCCAUGCCGCGUGCAGGAAGAAGGUGCUAUGCAUUGUAAACUGCUUUUAUACGGGGGUAAUUCCAGAUACGUGUAUCUGGAUGAAAGUACCGUAUGAAUAAGGAUCGGCUAACUCCGUGCCAGCAGCCGCGGUAAUACGGAGGAUCCGAGCGUUAUCCGGAUUUAUUGGGUUUAAAGGGUGCGUAGGCGGUCAGGUAAGUUAGAGGUGAAAGCUCGAUGCUCAACAUCGAAACUGCCUCUGAUACUGUCUGACUAGAGUGUAGUUGCGGAAGGCGGAAUGUGUGGUGUAGCGGUGAAAUGCUUAGAUAUCACGAAGAACUCCGAUUGCGAAGGCAGCUUACUAAACUGCCACUGACAUUGAUGCUCGAAAGUGUGGGUAUCAAACAGGAUUAGAUACCCGAGUAGUC
This 460-nucleotide ribosomal RNA is filed under the name uncultured bacterium. Its description in RNAcentral is "partial 16S ribosomal RNA". It matches the Rfam family "Bacterial small subunit ribosomal RNA", at positions 338 to 795 of the family's 1533-position model. The record is from RNAcentral.